Molecule: long non-coding RNA, 513 nt
Filed under: Lathyrus oleraceus (garden pea)
Lineage: Eukaryota; Viridiplantae; Streptophyta; Magnoliopsida; Fabales; Fabaceae
Description: Pisum sativum (pea) long non-coding RNA (PSAT_LNC020610)
Source: RNAcentral
AAAUUUGUGAGAAUUGCAAUUCUGAUGAGAAACUACAUUAAUCUAGCUAUAAAGUGUGACCAAAAAAUACCCCCAAUUGAAUAUAAAAAAAUGCAAAUGCCACAACUGCAUGGAGUUCAUUCUCUCUUUAAAGUAUGUACAAUUGAAUAAGGCUCGAGCAUCAAAUGAAAUGUAAUAACACCCUAUUUCACCUAAAACCUGCUACUAAAAAUCCUAGUGAUAAAAAAAGGGGGAGAAAAAACAAACAGGACUGUGCUGUUAGUGGUUAUGCGGCCAAAAUUGAUGCAAUUUUUUGGCAGCAAAUCUUGAACACUACCCUGACUGCUUGUGUUCUUCCGGAAUUUGGCUCCAAGAAGGAUAGAAAUCAGAAUAUUCAUGACUUGCAUAACUGUGACAGGGAAGCCUGACUCGGUUGGUCUGUGAAGGUAUAUUGGGUUUUCUCCGGUACAUAUGAAGAUCUUAACCUCGUCUCGUAAUCCCGUUGAGAAAAGCUAUCAUGCUGGUGAGAAGAUC